RNAcentral lists this ribosomal RNA (465 nucleotides) under uncultured bacterium. Its description in RNAcentral is "partial 16S ribosomal RNA". It matches the Rfam family "Bacterial small subunit ribosomal RNA", at positions 338 to 795 of the family's 1533-position model. The record is from RNAcentral.
CCUACGGGAGACAGCAGUGGGGAAUAUUGCGCAAUGGGCGAAAGCCUGACGCAGCGACGCCGCGUGAGGGAUGAAGGUCUUCGGAUCGUAAACCUCUGUCAGCAGGGAAGAACGGUCACUGUGCUAAUCAGCAGUGAAUUGACGGUACCUGCAAAGGAAGCACCGGCUAACUCCGUGCCAGCAGCCGCGGGAAUACGGAGGGUGCGAGCGUUAAGCGGAAUUACUGGCCGUAAAGCGCUCGUAGGCGGUAUGUCAAGUCAAGGGUGAACUCCCCGCGCUCAACGUGGGAACUGCCUUUGAAACUGGCAAACUGGAGUGUGUGAGAGGAUAGUGGAAUUCCAGGUGUAGGAGUGAAAUCCGUAGAUAUCUGGAGGAACAUCAGUGGCGAAGGCGACUAUCUGGCACAUAACUGACGCUGAGGAGCGAAAGCGUGGGUAGCAAACAGGAUUAGAUACCCUUGUAGUC